GGAGGCAGCCAGUGGGGAAUAUUGGACAAUGGGGGGAACCCUGAUCCAGCCAUGCCGCGUGUGUGAAGAAGGCCUUAUGGUUGUAAAGCACUUUAAGCGAGGAGGAGGCUCUUUUGGUUAAUACCCAAGAUGAGUGGACGUUACUCGCAGAAUAAGCACCGGCUAACUCUGUGCCAGCAGCCGCGGUAAUACAGAGGGUGCAAGCGUUAAUCGGAUUUACUGGGCGUAAAGCGCGCGUAGGCGGCCAAUUAAGUCAAAUGUGAAAUCCCCGAGCUUAACUUGGGAAUUGCAUUCGAUACUGGUUGGCUAGAGUGUGGGAGAGGAUGGUAGAAUUCCAGGUGUAGCGGUGAAAUGCGUAGAGAUCUGGAGGAAUACCGAUGGCGAAGGCAGCCAUCUGGCCUAACACUGACGCUGAGUUUCGAAAGCCGU
This 429-nucleotide ribosomal RNA is filed under the name Acinetobacter sp. Its description in RNAcentral is "bacterial SSU rRNA". It matches the Rfam family "Bacterial small subunit ribosomal RNA", at positions 344 to 763 of the family's 1533-position model. The record is from RNAcentral. Lineage: Bacteria; Pseudomonadati; Pseudomonadota; Gammaproteobacteria; Moraxellales; Moraxellaceae.